This is a long non-coding RNA of Numida meleagris (helmeted guineafowl), 539 nucleotides long. RefSeq lists it as uncharacterized. The record is from RefSeq and is a predicted model, not a curated record. Lineage: Eukaryota; Metazoa; Chordata; Aves; Galliformes; Numididae. The transcript has 4 exons.
GUGGAGGUGAGGGCAUCUCACUGGAGUUCUCUGCCUACCUGAGGCCUUCCAAGGGGAGGCAGCAGUGACGUGGAUGUGCGGCUCCAGGUGGAAUUAUUGACCUCACAUCUUGGGCUCCUGGAAUUAUCUUUGCCAAAAGCAAAGCCUCCAUCUGCACACUUGCAAGCCGUUAAUGCCUAAUUGAAUGGCGCCGCUGGAGCCAGGAACUAAGGGUCCAACCAGGACACACUGUCAGCCCAAGCAAGCUGCAGACAUGAGGUACACCCAUCCUCUUCCAACUGCCCGAGCACAGGUCAACUGUGCAGAGGUGAAUGGAACUGUCUCUAUUUGUCACCUGGGCUCCUGGACAAUGCUUGAGUGCAGUGCUGGGGACUGUCCUGUCCAGCAGACAGCAAAGGACUCAUAAAUGUGAGUGCAAAGCUGUUGUGUUGGCUUUCAUUGUGCUGCAGGUUUGACCCUGUGUGCUGUGCUGUACCUCUGACCCCCGACCAGACACUUGUAAAUGGAGAAACUUCAGAAUAAAUGAUGUUUUGUGCAAA